This 373-nucleotide ribosomal RNA is filed under the name uncultured organism. Its description in RNAcentral is "partial 16S ribosomal RNA". It matches the Rfam family "Bacterial small subunit ribosomal RNA", at positions 527 to 896 of the family's 1533-position model. The record is from RNAcentral.
GUAGGUGGCAAGCGUUGUCCGGAAUUAUUGGGCGUAAAGCGCGCGCAGGCGGUUCUUUAAGUCUGAUGUGAAAGCCCACGGCUCAACCGUGGAGGGUCAUUGGAAACUGGAGAACUUGAGUACAGAAGAGGAAAGCGGAAUUCCACGUGUAGCGGUGAAAUGCGUAGAGAUGUGGAGAAACACCAGUGGCGAAGGCGGCUUUUCUGGUCUGUAACUGACGCUGAGGCGCGAAAGCGUGGGGAGCAAACAGGGAUUAGAUACCCUGGUAGUCCACGCCGUAAACGAUGAGUGCUAAGUGUUAGGGGGUUUCCGCCCCCUUAGUGCUGCAGCUAACGCAUUAAGCACUCCGCCUGGGGAUACGGCCGCAAGGCUG